AACCCAAUCAGAAAAUGUCGGAUUGGUAAUGGAAAGAACAUCAUCAAUAUAUUUGAAAGUGAAAUUAAAUAAUCUAUGGAUAUAGGAAGAUGUGGUGUGAGUGCCAAUGAGACAACUCUCCAUCCAAAUAACAAUUUAAAAAAGUAAACCAUUAUAGGUCAAUGUACGGCCUUCAACAUGGAGCCUUGGCUCACACCGAACAACAAGCUAUAAAGGGCCCCAAAAUAACUAGUGUAAAACCAUUCAAACGGGAAAACCAACGGUCUAAUCUAUAUGAAAAAA
RNAcentral lists this long non-coding RNA (282 nucleotides) under Mytilus galloprovincialis (Mediterranean mussel). Lineage: Eukaryota; Metazoa; Mollusca; Bivalvia; Mytilida; Mytilidae. The record is from RNAcentral.